GAUGAACGCUGGCGGCGUGCCUAAUACAUGCAAGUCGAGCGAACAGACGAGGAGCUUGCUCCUCUGACGUUAGCGGCGGACGGGUGAGUAACACGUGGAUAACCUACCCAUAAGACUGGGAUAACUUCGGGAAACCGGAGCUAAUACCGGAUAAUAUAUUGAACCGCAUGGUUCAAUAGUGAAAGACGGUUUUGCUGUCACUUAUAGAUGGAUCCGCGCCGCAUUAGCUAGUUGGUAAGGUGACGGCUUACCAAGGCAACGAUGCGUAGCCGACCUGAGAGGGUGAUCGGCCACACUGGAACUGAGACACGGUCCAGACUCCUACGGGAGGCAGCAGUAGGGAAUCUUCCGCAAUGGGCGAAAGCUUGACGGAGCAACGCCGCGUGAGUGAUGAAGGUCUUCGGAUCGUAAAACUCUGUUAUUAGGGAAGAACAAAUGUGUAAGUAACUAUGCACGUCUUGACGGUACCUAAUCAGAAAGCCACGGCUAACUACGUG
This 497-nucleotide ribosomal RNA is filed under the name uncultured bacterium. RNAcentral's name for it is "partial 16S ribosomal RNA". It matches the Rfam family "Bacterial small subunit ribosomal RNA", at positions 28 to 507 of the family's 1533-position model. The record is from RNAcentral.